This 174-nucleotide ribosomal RNA is filed under the name Triticum aestivum (bread wheat). Its description in RNAcentral is "partial small subunit ribosomal RNA". Lineage: Eukaryota; Viridiplantae; Streptophyta; Magnoliopsida; Poales; Poaceae. The record is from RNAcentral.
AUGUCCUCUCUUCUAAUGCUUGUAUCAUGGGAGCUGUGGAACGAGAGGAAUGUGAGGGUGUUCCAAAAGAAGGCCACGAUGCCGACCAUUGUGGUUGAUCGUAUCAAGGCGGAGGCUAGAAAUUGGGUUCUGGCCGGGGCAAAACACAUGGGAUAUUUGAUGCCGCGAGAGUAG